UACGAAGGGGGCUAGCGUUGCUCGGAAUCACUGGGCGUAAAGCGCACGUAGGCGGGUCGUUAAGUCGGGGGUGAAAUCCUGGAGCUCAACUCCAGAACUGCCUUCGAUACUGGCGAUCUUGAGUCUGGGAGAGGUGAGUGGAACUCCGAGUGUAGAGGUGAAAUUCGUAGAUAUUCGGAAGAACACCAGUGGCGAAGGCGGCUCACUGGCCCGGUACUGACACUGAGGCGCGAAAGCGUGGGGAGCGAACAGG
Molecule: ribosomal RNA, 253 nt
Filed under: uncultured bacterium
Lineage: Bacteria
Description: partial 16S ribosomal RNA
Rfam family: Bacterial small subunit ribosomal RNA
Source: RNAcentral